RNAcentral lists this long non-coding RNA (10627 nucleotides) under Olea europaea (common olive). RNAcentral's name for it is "long non-coding RNA (OEUR_LNC009577)". The record is from RNAcentral. Lineage: Eukaryota; Viridiplantae; Streptophyta; Magnoliopsida; Lamiales; Oleaceae.
GGCAAUCCAAUUCAGUCCUCGUGGGUCAAGCCUUGUCUUUCAGGGUCACGGCUAGUGAUCGUCGCUCGUCUACCUCAUGGAACAUUGCACCAGCCAGUUGGCAAUUUGGACAGACCUUCACUGGCAAGAAUUUCAGGGUUUAAAAUAAUUGGGAUGGAAAAUUAUUUCCUUUCGACCAAUUAAUUUACUUUCCAAGAUUUUUCCCGCCUUCGUAAUAGAAUCGGGAAUUAGUAUAGGAUUAGUUUUAAGUGUGUUUUGGGUGUUUACUUUUGGUCUUCCGUUUCUUUAGCCACUUUGGUAUGGGGUUAUUUUUCACUUUUACUUUUGUGUUUUCACUUUUGUAUUAGUGCUGGUAAAAAACGUCAAGAAAGACAGUGAUGUUGGGCUGAAGCAGCGGCUGCACGAAAAAGGAAAGCAUGUAGCCCGCAGCCCUAAUUAUGUUGUCUCAAAUUAUUACUACUAAUAAUUGUUAUAUAUGGAGUAUGUUUCUAUUGCCUUUUACUUAUUUUUAUCCAACAUUUCAUAUCGUUUAUUUAUGUUAAAUUGAAUAUUAGACAGGGUGUUGAAUAUCCCUCGACCAACUUCCACAUUCGAAUAACUAUCUAAUUAGUAUCAACAUAAUAAAUAAAUCUCUAUUUCAAAACUACUACAAAGUAGGCCUAGGCCAAAAAAUCUAAAAAUCGACCAAACCAAUCAAACAUGUUGGUUCGGGUUGGUUCGACACAAGUAAUUGGUUUAGUUUGGUUUUCUUUUAAACAAAAUCAUGGUGGAUCAGUUCAAUCAUAGUUUGAAAUUUCAAAUCAUUGGUUAAUCGAACCAACUCAACUCACUUACGUGUUCAUAUUUUUUUAAUUUAAGAAAAAUAAAAAUCAAAAGAUAAACUCUAAUUUUAUAAGUAUAUCUCGAUUCCCUUUAAUUUAUGAUAUUGCCGAUAAGCAAUAGUACUGAAAAUUUUCUUUCACAAAUUUAUUAUGUUAUAUUUAGCAUUUUUUUUCAUAUUCAAACAAUCAUACUACUGAUACAUAAAAAUGCAAUAAAAUUUUUAAGUUUUCUAUUAAUUUGUCUCCAUUAAUCUAAUUUUAUUUGUUAAUCAAUAGUUAUUAUAAUAUAAAAUUAUUUGAUUAUUUUAGUUUUUGUAAUUUAAAUGCGCUUAAAAUUCCAACAAUUUCAUUUUAAAAAAAAUAAAUUAAUUUGACUAAGCAGUGGUUCAAUUCAGUUUAAGAGCUAGAGUGAAUUGGUUUGAUUUGAAAUUUGUCCAAACUGACUAAUUUGAGUUUGGUUUCAGAUUGGAGUUGAAACUGACACAAAUCAAAUCGCGCUCAAACUUAUUUAUGAAGAAUGGGGACAAGUAAAUUAGAUAUUUAAAGUUUCAUAAGAGAAUAAUGGACGAUAUAUUGGCCACGAUAUUUGCUGGUUGGCCGGGGAUCAUUUCUUCAUUACAAUGCCAGGAGAUAUUAGGGGUGGUGAACGCAAUUCGAUUUGAGUGAUUUGUGCUGUACUUUUGACUCAAAACAUUUUAUGUGGCUUGAAAUUUUUUCAAACAAAAUCAUUUUAUUUUUCAAACCAAACCAUUUUAUUUUUCGAACAAAACCAUAAUUUGCAGUUUGGUUGGAUUUUAUCCGCGGUUUACCUAUCGAUAUUAUAAUAACAUACUUAACAUAAGUUAACAUAUAAGUUUAAACGAGAACUAAUAAUGUUAAAUGUUAAAUUUCAUUCAUAUUUAUCAUAAAAUCCAUGAAUAAAUUAUUUUCAAAGUUUCUUACUAAAAGAUAUUAAUAGAACAAAUAUAUCGUUCUUUAUUUUAUUUAUCUUUUCUUGUUUGACAUUUAUAUUAUCAUAUAACGGUUGAUAAAUGUAGAGUUACAUUCUGAUAUUAUAGUUUGAUUAAAACUUCUUUCAUCUUCGUAGUGAGAUGUUAAAUAAGGAUUGAACUGAGUAUGUUUAGAUGUACAAAGAUUAAUAUAGUUUCGAUUUAUUGAGAAUUGACGAAUUUCAUUCUCUAACUGCUUUAUGAAAGUAGAUGGUGGUAGUACUAGUUAGAGAAUUUUAAUAUUUUCACACAAUCAAGAAAAUGUGUUCUUCGUUUUUUUUUCAAACUACAAACAAGUUCAUUAAUCAUCUAGGCACACAAACAAUUAUUUUUCUAUCCAAACCACAAUUCAUAAGUGUCUAAUAAAUUCAGAAACAACAAAUAAAAGAAAGAAUAACGAAAAAAUGGCUUGAAUGAGAAUUUGAGACUUAUAGAAAUAGAAGAGAUAAAGAGGUGAUUCGGGUAGAAAUUAGUAGACUAACAAGUAAAGGCGACUGACAAUUUAUUCAGCAAUGACAGACAAACGUCAAAUGUUAGGAAAAUGAAAGUUUAUGUUAAGGCUUCUGAAACUUUGGACGUGAUUUGCUGACAUAGUUUUGUUGAAUUAUGAUUUGAAUUGUUGAAUAUAUAUAUAUAUAUAUUUUUUUUUUUUUCAUUUCAUAUGAUUUUUGAAUAAUUUUAGUUUAGUUUAGAUAUUGAGUGAGGACCUAUGUUGUGAACUUGUUAAAUCAUAUGCCAAUAAUAAUGAACCUAAUUUACUUUCUAUACUUAUUUCAAUAGGUUCAUUGUAAUUUGUAUUGCUAAAUUGAUAUUUUUUCUGAAAAGUGAAAACUGUAAAAUUUUAAGUCAAUAAAAUUAAUGUUUUAAUUAAAAAAUUUAUUACGAUUUAAUUUUAUGCGGUUUUUGAAAAUUAAAACCUAAACCAAAUCAUUUUUGAAACAGUUUGGUUCGAUUUGAGGGAAAAAAAAAACACGGGUCCACGUGGACCCAAACCAACGGUUUCAACUCAACUGUUUUAGUUCGAUUUGCAAUUUUAUGAUUUUUUUUUUACAGCCCUAGGAGAUACAAUAUUUAAUAGUAGAAGAUUAAGAACAAAGUGAAAAUAGGCAUUACAUUUCUUUAAAUUUUAUAUAAUUUGUGCAUAUUUUGGCAUUGCAGAGUGGAGAACUUUACACACCAGUAAAUUUUGUGACCAUAUGUUUAAUCCAGUGCUCUAAAGGACUUGCUUAGCACUGUCAAGCACGCCCGAAUGAUAAUCUUUUCAUUUGACAAGAAAUUUUUUCUUAUUUCAAAAUUAAGUGCAACUAAAUAUUUAACUUUUAAAACCUAAAAAUGAAAUACGUCCGACAAAAACCCAUGAUCAUAGUUUUUUCUCUCCACUAACAAAACAUUAUUCGUUAUUUAAAAAAUAUGUAUGAAGUUCUCAUAACACAUUGCAAAUAUAUAUAACGUUAGGAUAAUUAGUACAAAACGUCCUUAUCUUUUAAUGCUAUUGUGCAAAAAAUUCUUACCUUUCAUUUCUUAGCAUUUUCACACCUAUUUUUACAUUUUCUUGCGAAAAGGGCCAUUUUCAUCAAAUUUCUCAAUAAAAAAUGUAAAAUAAUAUAUACCUCAUAUUUAAAUUAAAAAAAAAAGAAAAUUUUUAAAAAAAUUUGCAAUUAUACUUCCAAACUUUUUUAAAAGCCGCAAAUAAGCUCAAAUAAAUUAUUAAAAGGGUAAUUAGCAUAAAAUGUCUCUACCUUCAAUAUUAUUGUGCAAAAUAUCCAUACUUUCAUUUUUUACAUUUUCAUCCUUAUUUCACAUUUAAUUGAGAAAAUCAUCAUUUUCAUCCAUUUUUCAAUUAAAAGUUGUAAAAUAACAAAUAUACCCUCCUAUUUAAAUAAAACAAAAAUAAAAGGAAAUAGCAAAUUACAACUAUACUCACAACUUUUUUUAAAAAGUACAAAUAAAUAAUUAAAAACAAUUUUUUUUUCAAAAAAACCACUUUCUUUUUUAAUUAUUUUAUUUGGAAUUUAUUUUUAUUUUUCUUUUGCAAUUUUUUGAAGUAUAGUUCUUUAUUUUUGUUUUAUUUAAAUAAGAGGGUAUAUUCAUUAUUUUACAACUUUUAUUGAGAAAAUGAAUGAAAUGAUGAUUUUCGUAAUAUAAUGUAAAAUAAGGGUGAAAAUGUCAAAAAACGAAAGAUAUGGAUGUUUUGCACAAUAAUAUUGAAAAGUAUGGGUGUUUUAUUCUAAUUAUUCUUUUAAUAAUUUAUUUGGACUCAUUUAUAGUUUUUUAAAAAGUUCGAAAGUAUAAUUGAAAUUUGUUGUUUAAUUUUUCUUUUCUUUUUUUCGUUUUAUUUAAAUGGGAGGUUAUAUUUGUCAUUUUACAUUUUUAUUGAGAAAUUGGAUGAAAAUAACAUUUUCUAUAAUGAAAAGUGAAAAUAGAGGUGAAAACGUCUAAAGAUAAAAGAUAAUGACGUUUUGCACAAUAACAUUAAAAUGUAAGGACGUUUUAUGCUAAUUACCUUAUAAAGUUACUAUAAAUUUACAAAGUAUUUGUCAUUUUAUUUAUUUACUAAUCUAGCAUAAUUAAAAUGAUUUUAAAAAUGGUAGAACAUCUUAUUACUCCAAGUGUCAUAAGGGUUUUGCCACUUUAAUUGAAAAAUUAUAACAAAUGAUUUGAUGGUGAUGUUGACUGUAUUUAAAACAAUCAAACGAUGAGAUAAUAUGUGAUAUUAUGUCAAGAAUUAUAUUACUGUAUCAUGAUUAGGGUCAUAAUGCUUGACCUCAUACCUUGUCUUUGUCAUGCUUACACCUUCUAAAACCUUGGUUCAGUUUGUCGGACAAGAUAAUAAGAUUGAAAAAUUCCUGUUGUUUUUUCUUAUAUAAUAUUAAUGACACGUAUCAAUUAUAAAUUUAUAAUUUAGGCUCCGUUUGAUUUGCCAAAUUUUCCAUGGAACUUGGAAUUCGAAUUCCAACUUUCACUUUUUGCCUAUUUGAUUGACAAAAUUUUCUAGGGAAUUCAUUUUCCAUGUAAUUCUAGGUACAACACCUUAAAGCGUGAUUUUUCACCUUUUAUUUUUCUAGGGGGUUGGUGGUUUUUUGUUUUCCACCUUUUUUUUUUAAUUGUUGGCAAUGAGAAUAAAUUUUAGGAACAAUUGUAAAAAAAGAUAUACCUGAAAUUGACAAUUUUCAUGUAAAACAAAGCCAUACGAACACCAAAAUAUAGAUGAUUUUUUGAUCUUUUUUUUUUUGGCAAUGGAAACAAAUUCUAGGAACAAUGAUAGAAGUUGAUAUCCCUUAAAUUGACAAUUUUCAUAUAAAACAAAGCCAAACGAACACCAAAAAAUACUUUUAUUUCAACAUUUUUCACGUGAAAAAUUAUACCAAUCAAACAUAAUAAUUUACAAUUCCCAAGAAAACAAUUUCUAGAUAAUUCAAUUUCCUGGAAUUCAUUUUCUUUCCACCCAAAUUUCAUUUUCGCAAUCAAACAGACCCUUAGUUACAACAAGAGAAAUAUGUCAAAGGGCUACACUAAGAAUCUAACUGCACUAUAAAUAGUUGAAUUGAUUAUCGUAUACUUGCACUAUAAACCAUAGUUUUCAAAUUCAGUAUAGCCAAUCUAAAUGAAAAUCUGUUAAAGUGAACCAUGGUUUGGUCCCAUCAGUAUAUUUGACCAAUUGACAAUUGAACUUUACAAACCACAUAAAUAGGGAAUUCCCAACUUAUCACGCUAAUAAGGUGCAAGACUCACAAUUUUUGAAUUUUGGACUAUGCAAUUUGUAAGUUUACAUCUUUUAAGCUAGCACUAUUUGUAGCCAAACAUUCUUCUCAUGUUUUCAUUAGGUCAAUGAUCAGAUCGAAUCUAAUAACUAUGAUGUGAAUAAACAAUAUUAUUCUUUCGUUAAAGUCAUUCCUAGAUGAAACAAAUAUCUACAUGUAAAAGUCAUAGUAUAUAUCAAUUAUACGAGAUUAUUCUUGCGUACUUUUCAUUUUUUUUGUAUUAAGAUUGUGUUUGGAUAUUUAUGAGAUAAAAAAGUGUAAAGGGACAUAUGCCUUAUCUCUAAUUAAAUAAAUGCCUUUCGGUGGUAGAACAAUGGUAAGAGGCUAAAAGGACCACUUGACAUUCUUACCAAUUAAGACCAAACCUUAUAUACUUAGGUAACUUAGAUUCUUUCUUUCUUUCUUUCUUUCUCUUUUCCAUGAGAAUUUAUUUGUCAGAGUAAACCCAUAAUUUAUGUCUUUUCAUCAUGUGUCUCUGAUGUUUAAUUGUCGUAGUUGGAAAUAGAAUUAUUUUGUUCCUAGACUCGAUGGAUGCAUAUUGAUAUUAUGCAAAAUGGAAUGCACGCCAGAAAUUCAGUUUUAUUACCUUAUUUAAGUAACUUUUCUUUAAUUAUUCAAUCUACAAACGUAAAUGGUUCAACCGCUAUGAAAUAAAUGUAAAGUUAUUUAUAUUUAUGUCUUAAAUAUCUCUCAACUACAUGCGCGCCACAUUCAUAGUGCUCUUUAAGAGACUAAACUAGGCAGGAUCGAGGGUAAAAUUUAUCUAAUAAAAUUGGCGCAAAAAAAAGAUACAGCGUACCUUUUAAGUUCAUAUACUAUAUUGAAUUGUUUAAUUUAAAAGCUUAAAUUGCUCGUAAAAUUGAAAUCGAGAUAUUUUGACAAGUUGGUAGGAGGUCAUGUGAGUGGGUUAGUACAUUAUUGUUUAAUCUUGGAAUUUCAGUGACAUAGGAUUCUUCUAAGGGGUAUGAAAAUGCCACUGAUUAGAAUCUGUUUUUCAAACAAACGAAUCAUCUUUUGAAGAAGUGCCUUAGAAAAGAAACAAAAUCUUUGUACAUUGAAAUAAUAAAACAAAAUCAAAUGGAAAUUGAAAACUUUCAUGUGAAAGUUGGGGAAUCCGAAGAAUAUAUUCUGGAGAUCCCAAAAAGAAGAAGAAGAUCAAAAGGUACUUAUAGUGUGUAAUACAAGUUCUAUCCUCUCAGGCCAUAAGAUUUUUCUCUAUUUAAAAAAUAAAAAAUAAAAAAUAAAAAAAUAAAGAGAUAGUAUGAAUAUAGGCGCGAGACGAGCAUUUUUAGUUGUUUAAAAGUAAGUAUAAGUUUUGCUCAAGUGUAAUCAAGCAUGUUCGUAGAUUCAAAAUGACAUAGGGGAUGGUAAUGGAACGGUAAGAUGAGAGGAUUAAUUAUCUGGAUUUAUCAUAUUGUUUAAUUAAUAAUAUUAUUGAAUAAUUGAAUAAGAUAUUCUUAUAUACGUUGAGAAUUAUAUACCCUACCCAAUUCCACCGAGAACAAUUAAUUCGAAGAAAGAAAAAUAAACAUUCAAGAACGUGUAAAAUUUAUAGAGAUUCGCUUCAAUAUAUGUUUACGUCCUCUCCCACCUUUGCAAUGAUUCACUAUGAUGAAAAAAGGUUUACAAGAACAAAUCGCUCAUAUAUGUUCUCUAUCCUCUAUUUCUCUCUUUUUGAUAAUUAAUAAAGCCUAAAGACAAUUCCCGCUUUGUAAGAAAAAUUAGGGCAAAAUCGAAUUUUACAGGGACUCUUAUUCUUUAAUAGAACUUUGCAGAAAUAAAAAUUUCUAAAUAAUCCCUAAUGAUAUUUUGAUUUGAAGCCCCCUGCCUCCCUUCUAAAACCCCAUGGUUACCUCACCACGGAGGUCGAUUCCUUACCAACUCCGCUAAGCAACAAUAAUUCGGCAAAAUCUAAAAAAAUCUAAGUUUAUCACACAUUUUUUGCAAUUCAAAAAAAUUUAUUUACACAUUUAGUCAAUUUUUGUUAAAAUAUACUAAAAGUCCGUUUUUCUAUCUCAAUUAAACGUAGAGUAAAUUAUAACGCUAUAUUUCUAGAAAAUAGCUUCAAUAUAAAAUGUACAACAAUUGGGCCACAUCCAGCAGUGUAUCGUUUGCGGUUGUAUUGUCCCAACCCAGUAUAUAGAGCUUUGAGGCCUUUCGUCCAUUGUUAAAACGAAAAAUCCUUGAAUGAAGUCGACACUGGAAAUUCGGUUACGUACUGCAAGUAGAAUUGUAGUUGCAUACACACACACACACACACACACACACACACAAAAAGAAUACAAACGUAAAGCACCGCCAAGAUGCAAAAUAACAUUAUUCGAUAUUGGGCAUGAGAGUGAAAAGUUAAGCCAUAUGUUUUCCCAAUCUGGUUUGACAAUGAUGAAUUUUUUCCUGAACGGGCGAAGGUUUAUGGAAGAUGAAUCUAACUCUUUCUCAGUUUGGUUCAAAGAUGUGGUUAGAGCUUCGGAAAUCGCCCGUGAUUUUGCAGCUGAUAAUUUUCGAUUGUAGAUGAAGAUGGCGCGGAAGAUGGUAUAACCGUGACUUUUUCUUUUUUUUGCCAACUUCCAUUUGUUAACACGUUUAGAGCAUCUCUAAUGGGAUGUGGAUUGUACUAAAAAGUGUCUCGUCAUCCCAAAAUACUUAAAUGACAAGGAAAUUUGUGAAGCAUGUCUAACGUACCAAAUUUGUUGAAAUAAAUUUAAAAGUAAAAAUAAUUAUUCAUAAAAUUUUAAAGUUCAACAAAACUAAUUUUUAAUUUGUUUUAGUUUAACGAACUAUUGAAUUGAGUUCAACAUUUUUAUGUUCAUCCGCCCAUGUCAAAAAUCAAAUCUUCAAUAAUAGAAAAUGAUACUGUCAUUUUCACGCUUCUGAAAAAAAUUGAAUUGCCAAAUGUAUAAAUUAACUUGGAAAUUUUGUUGGCCAAGUUACAAGCUCCGUCAAUUUUGAUGAAGUCAUAUUAAACGAUCAACACGGAACAGUUUCGUAAGAAUAAUGAUAGCUAAUUAUUUAUUUAUUUAUUAUUAUUAUUUUUUUUUUUUUUUCCUUUUUACCCAAGCUUAAAAUAUAUAACAUAUGGUAACGAAAAUAUUUUUUCUGGUGUUUCGCGAGACAUCGCCGUCUGUGGGAAUCGAACCCACGACCACGUGGUUAAAAGCCACGCGCUCUACCGGCUGAGCUAAGACGGCUUGGGUUCUCCUUGCUCAUAUUCAUAAUGUUAUUUUAAUUUGAUAAUUUAUUUGGCCUCUAACAAAAGGUACAACAAAUCAGUUAUACUACAUAUACAUCAGGACGUCUAUAAGGGUAUCCACUCCCCACACGUAGAGAAUAACCCACUUGAAAUAAAAUAUAAUUUAUCCUAGUGGAUCCCUCUUCAUAUGAAGAGAACGAACACCGCAUUAUGUACAAAUAGCAUACCACUUAGUAUAUUUAUAGCUUAUAAUACAUACAAUUUGCAAAUGUGAAAUUGAAAAUUCUAGAUUUACUCUCUUUCAAGAUUUGUCCGUGAAAAGGUGCAAUUGAGGGAAUUUUAUGCCAAGACUAAUUUAAUUGUCUCAUUCAUUUCAUUAUAUAAUAAUCUGUGAAUUUUGGUUGACAAUUAAAAUCAUUGCCCUUUUCUUCUCUCUCGAGGUCAAAAUACGUUCCAACCACUAAAUUUUAAGCGAAAACAAAACUUCGAAUCAAAAUAGAUGUCAUUUAUAAUAACGCAUUGAGCUAUGCAAUUCAAAAGUUUAAUAUACUUAAAAAAGAGAAGAAUUUAAUUUCUUAGAAUUGGGCAGAAGUGAAACUUUAACGAUUUUUAUUUGUUAUAAUAAUAUGUAGAAAUAAAUCAUUCAAAAAGAUAUAAAAUUAUUGAGUUUGUUUUAACAUUUCAUUUUCAUUGGACAGAGGUAUUGUAGGAUGUGUCGGGGUUAAAUAUGGAAAUGACUUUUGAAUGAUUUUGGAGGGUAUUGUAGUAAAAUAACAUGCUACAAUUUGCCGGGCAAUCAGGGUAGGACUGUGCUAAGAAAGUAAAUUGACGUGUCUAUUGUUGUUCACGCGCCUUUGGGCCCACCACUUCCGUUAAAAGCGGCGCCGUUUAGGUGGUCCACUGUACCGGAAAUACCCGCCAAUUGCACUAUCUGAUCUUUUUAGCUCUUUGCUUUUCACUUAAUUUUUUUUUUUUUUUUUUUUUGGUCUUGUUUCCGUUAAAAGCGGCGCCGUUUAGGUGGUCCACUGUACCGGAAAUACCCGCCAAUUGCACUAUCUGAUCUUUUUAGCUCUUUGCUUUUCACUUAAUUUUUUUUUUUUUUUUUUUUUGGCAUUAACCCCCCCCCUUUUUUAAACAUUUGGCAGGGUACCAUGUAGAAAGCAAGGGGGGAUCAGAUUCACAAUCAAUGGUUUUCGUUACUUCAACUUGGUUUUGAUCACUAAUGUAGCGGGUGCAGGAGAUAUCGUGAGGCUUAGCAUCAAAGGUACAAACACUCAAUGGAUGCCGAUGAGUCGCAAUUGGGGACAAAACUGGCAAUCCAAUUCAGUCCUCGUGGGUCAAGCCUUGUCUUUCAGGGUCACGGCUAGUGAUCGUCGCUCAUCUACUUCAUGGAACAUUGCACCAGCCAGUUGGCAAUUUGGACAGACCUUCACUGGCAAGAAUUUCAGGGUUUAAAAAAAUUGGGAUGGAAAAUUAUUUCCUUUCGACCAAUUAAUUUACUUUCCAAUAUUUUUCCCGCCUUCGUAAUAGAAUCGGGAAUUAGUAUAGGAUUAGUUUUAAGUGUGUUUUGGGUGUUUACUUUUGGUCUUCCGUUUCUUUAGCCACUUUGGUAUGGGGUUAUUUUUCACUUUUACUUUUGUGUUUUCACUUUUGUAUUAGUGCUGGUAAAAAACGUCAAGAAAGACAGUGAUGUUGGGCUGAAGCAGCGGCUGCACGAAAAAGGAAAGCAUGUAGCCCGCAGCCCUAAUUAUGUUGUCUCAAAUUAUUACUACUAAUAAUUGUUAUAUAUGGAGUAUGUUUCUAUUGCCUUUUACUUAUUUUUAUCCAACAUUUCAUAUCGUUUAUUUAUGUUAAAUUGAAUAUUAG